UGAUGGUCUGGAAGGCGAGGAGAACCAAGAUCAGCAGCCUCCGGAAUUUUUCAUUGCUCGUUGCUCACCACAAACAUGCUGUUCCGGAGGGCAGCAGAAAGCCAUGAGAAUGGCAAGAUAAAGCUCAGCACGAGGCCACGGAGAUGCAGCAGAGGAAGUAACUGGCCACAAAGAAGCUGUUCAACAUGUAUGAGGCUGCACAGGUCACUGCUAUUUCAGCGAAAGUCAAAUGCAGAUGGGCAGGUCUGACAUGCAGAAGCUAUUUUCCAUAGCCAAUGAUAAAGAGCUAUGUGGUUGCUAAAGAGUAUGUGGUCUCUUGACGUUUUUUUUCCACAGAACUGGCAUUCAUUUGGUUACAACAGACAGUUAAGUCUAUGAUGGGCGUUGGCCUCAGAUGAAUGAAGAUGUUGAAGUAUUUGAGCAAUGUUCCUUUUUAAAACCAUGCAAAUUCACAAAAUGAAUGGAAACAGGGGCAGCAUGUUUUUUAAAGGAAGAGCUACAGAAGAGCAUGAUCCAAAAAUCCAUAAAAAUCAGAAAAAUCCCCAAACGAUGAAAAUCCCUGAAACAAGUUAUCCUGUGAUCACAGCAUUGCUGGCAACAUCAAGUUUUAAUCGAGUUUGUUAUUUUUGUCUCACUUAUUGAGUUUGUUCCUUGUACCUAGUCCUUUCCACACCCCCACUAUCUCUUAACAGCUUGUUUACUUUCUAUCAUAACUUGCAGCAGAUCUUUUUCCAUUGCUUUUUAAAAAUCAUUUCUACAACCUUCCAUUCACCUUGUUCUAUCAUUCUUAGCAGCUCAUUAUGCUUUAUUCUGCCUUUUGAGUCAUGUUAUUUGAUAUUUGCACUCUGAUUUAGGCUAUCACUAUCACCAGAAAAGCUGAUCCAUAGCUUCCAUAAAAACUACAGUUGAGGAUACAUCAC
Denticeps clupeoides (denticle herring) is the source of this 920-nucleotide long non-coding RNA. Lineage: Eukaryota; Metazoa; Chordata; Actinopteri; Clupeiformes; Denticipitidae. The record is from Ensembl.